CCUACGUGUGACUGCAGUCGAGAAUCAUUCACAAUGGGGGAAACCCUGAUGGUGCGACGCCGCGUGGGGGAAUGAAGGUCUUCGGAUUGUAAACCCCUGUCAUGUGGGAGCAAAUUAAAAAGAUAGUACCACAAGAGGAAGAGACGGCUAACUCUGUGCCAGCCGCCGCGGUAAUACAGAGGUCUCAAGCGUUGUUCUGAAUCACGGGGCGUAAAGCGUGCGUAGGAUGUUUCGUAAGUCGUGUGUGAAAGGCGCGGGCUCAACCCGCUGACGGCACAUAAUACUGCGAGACUAGAGAACUGGAGGGGGAACCGGAAUUCUCGGUGUAGCAGUGAAAUGCGUAGAUAUCGAGAGGAACACUCGUGGCGAAGGCGGGUUCCUGGACAUUAACUGACGCUGAGGCACGAAGGCCAGGGGAGCGAAAGGGAUUAGAUACCCCAGUAGUC
This 446-nucleotide ribosomal RNA is filed under the name uncultured bacterium. Its description in RNAcentral is "partial 16S ribosomal RNA". It matches the Rfam family "Bacterial small subunit ribosomal RNA", at positions 338 to 795 of the family's 1533-position model. The record is from RNAcentral.